UUUUAACUUUGUCAGGACACUUUGAAAAAGUGGUCUGUGGUAUCUGGAAAGCUGAUGUUGCGUGUGAAGAUUGCAGAUAAGCUUUAUCCAAGGAAAUCUGGCACUUGAAGUUCGGAGAGUGGUGCCUCUUCGAUUUUCGAACAAGCAAUCAUGUCGGGGAUCUGGCUCUCGAGAUUCAGAGAACGGUGCCUCUUCGAUUUUUAAGAAAGCAAUCAUGUUGGGAGUCUGACUCUUGAGAUUCAAAGAGCAGUGUCUCUUCGAUUUUUGAGAAAGUAAUCCUAUUGGGAGUCUGACUCUCG
This 299-nucleotide long non-coding RNA is filed under the name Malus domestica (apple). RNAcentral describes it as "long non-coding RNA (MDOM_LNC015125)". The record is from RNAcentral. Lineage: Eukaryota; Viridiplantae; Streptophyta; Magnoliopsida; Rosales; Rosaceae.